GCCUGGCUGGCUCAGUUGGUUAAGCAUCUGAUUUUGGCUCAGGUCAUGAGCUCGCGGUUCGUAGGUUCAAGAUCCAUGUCAGGCU
RNAcentral lists this transfer RNA (85 nucleotides) under Felis catus (domestic cat). It matches the Rfam family "tRNA". From Rfam's summary of the family: Transfer RNA (tRNA) molecules are approximately 80 nucleotides in length. Their secondary structure includes four short double-helical elements and three loops (D, anti-codon, and T loops). Lineage: Eukaryota; Metazoa; Chordata; Mammalia; Carnivora; Felidae. The record is from Rfam by way of RNAcentral.